GUGUCAGUUUCCUCAGUAUUUGCUGGAGCUCUGCUUACCCAAGCUUUGGGUAAAACAAGCUUUGGGUUCCUUCUGUCUCACCGGGAGUUGCCCAGUUUGGUUGCAUCUGGUGAAAUUCACCCUGAGACCUGACAGAGCUGGCUCAGACUACGUGAGAGCCAUUUGCGGUUCUCUCCAGACACCUGGAGAAUGGGGAAAGACUCUCGUGUCCUGGUCGUCAGGCUCAGUGCUGCCCGAAAAGAUACAGAGACUAAAAAAACAUAAGAAGCAAAUAUAACUGCGGAGAAAACAAACUGGAGAGAACAAAAGGAGUUUUUAAUUCUGUGUUGCCAAGUCAUCCAUCGGAGCCCUGUUGUAAUAAUCAUCCUACAAAUAUAAAACAAAAAAUCAGACUCUGUCCCAG
This is a long non-coding RNA of Camarhynchus parvulus, 403 nucleotides long. RefSeq lists it as uncharacterized. The transcript has 3 exons. Lineage: Eukaryota; Metazoa; Chordata; Aves; Passeriformes; Thraupidae. The record is from RefSeq and is a predicted model, not a curated record.